Molecule: ribosomal RNA, 1288 nt
Filed under: human gut metagenome
Description: bacterial LSU rRNA
Rfam family: Bacterial large subunit ribosomal RNA
Source: RNAcentral
AAGCAGUACCGUAAGGAGCUGUGGACUAUAUGGAAGAGAGAAUGCCGGAAUGAGUAGCGAGAUAGAGGUGGGAAUCCUCUAGGCCGAAUAUCCAAGGUUUCCAGGGUAAAGCUGAUCUGCCCUGGGUGAGUCGGGACCUAAGGUGAGGGCGGGAGCCGUAGCCGAUGGACAACAGGUUGAUAUUCCUGUACUGCACUAUAACAGAACUGUGGGGACACGUAAGGAGAGCGGGAGCCGGGAAUGGAAAGCCCGGUACAAGCGAGGUACCAGUAUGGUAGGAAAAUCCGCCAUGCAAUGGGAAGACGUGAUGUGGAGUGAAAUAUAGUAACGAAGCCCGUGAGCCAUGCGUCAAGAAAAGCCGCUAUUGUUUAUAUUGUACCCGUACCGUAAACCGACACAGGUGGAUGAGGAGAGAAUCCUAAGGCCGGCGGAAGAAGUAUUGCCAAGGAACUCGGCAAAAUGGCCCCGUAACUUAGGGAGAAGGGGUGCCUGCGAGAGCAGGCCGCAGAGAAUAGGCUCAAGCAACUGUUUAGCAAAAACACAGGUCUAUGCGAAACCGAAAGGUGAGGUAUAUGGGCUGACGCCUGCCCGGUGCUGGAAGGUUAAGAGGAGAGGUUAGACGCAAGUCGAAGCUUUGAAUUUAAGCCCCAGUAAACGGCGGCCGUAACUAUAACGGUCCUAAGGUAGCGAAAUUCCUUGUCGGGUAAGUUCCGACCCGCACGAAAGGCGUAAUGAUUUGAGCGCUGUCUCGGCAAUACAUCCGGUGAAAUUGAAGUGCCAGUGAAGAUGCUGGCUACCCGCGCCAGGACGGAAAGACCCCAUGGAGCUUUACUCCAGUUUGGCACUGGGGUCCGGUGUUGCAUGUACAGGAUAGGUGGGAGGCUGAGAAACGGUAGCGUCAGUUGCCGCGGAGCCGCUGUUGGGAUACCACCCUUGUGAUAUUGGGCUUCUAACCAGCCGCCGUAAUCCGGCGGUGGGACAAUGCCAGGCGGGGAGUUUGACUGGGGCGGUCGCCUCCGAAAGGGUAUCGGAGGCGCCCAAAGGUUCCCUCAGAAUGGACGGAAACCAUUCGAAGAGUGCAAAGGCAGAAGGGAGCUUGACUGCGACACCGACGGGUGGAGCAGGUACGAAAGUAGGGCUUAGUGAUCCGGUGGUAUUAAGUGGGAAUGCCAUCGCUCAACGGAUAAAAGCUACCCUGGGGAUAACAGGCUUAUCACUCCCAAGAGUUCACAUCGACGGAGUGGUUUGGCACCUCGAUGUCGGCUCAUCGCAUCCUGGGGCUGUAGUA